This 2140-nucleotide long non-coding RNA is filed under the name Takifugu rubripes (torafugu). Its description in RNAcentral is "lncRNA (ENSTRUG00000026117.1)". The record is from RNAcentral. Lineage: Eukaryota; Metazoa; Chordata; Actinopteri; Tetraodontiformes; Tetraodontidae.
CUCAACAUGCAGAAGCAAGUCGCCUUUUUUCCUGGGAAACUUCAGGUCGUGUUCCUCAAGGGGCCUCUUGGGUUUCUCCUCCAGGAGCCAUCUGAUGAAGCCAAACAGGCAGGCGCUGCGUUCCAGGUACACGAAUGUUCAGGUUGCAGCAGAACCUGCUGAAGAGGCAGCAGCCCACCACAUCUUCCACACCUGCUGAGCAUCCCAUGAAGGCCCCAGCUGAGCCCCUGGCCAUGGAGGAGGACGUGGAGAUGGAAAGGGAGAUGCUGAGCAUCCAUAACGCUGAUCUGCAAGUCCAGAGCUAUGCUAUGCCAGUAGCAGCAGCCGCCCUGCCCACGCCUCUGACGCAGGACUCCAUUGAAAAAAUUGUGCAGGGUAUUCUAGAGAUGCAGCAGCAGCAGCAGACAAAACUUCCCCACAAGCUCCAGCUCUUUUCCCGCCAGAGAGGUGACGUUCCAUGUUCCAAAAGCCAAUUUCCAUAACCGAGGAUCGGACCGCCAAGGCCCCCACCUUGGUCCGCCGCGCAAUCCACACUGCACCGGACCCUUCAUGCUCCUCCUGCGGGUGGUGGGUCCACUGGAGACGGGAGUAUCCACAUAGCUGGUUCGGGCUCGGCCCGACCCGGCCUCAUGGACGUAGGCCCGGCCACCAAGCGCUCGCCAUCGAGCCCCGGCCCCAGGCCUGGCUCCAGGGUGGGGCCCCGGUAAACCUCCGGGCCGGGUACGCAGCUUCCCUUUUAGAUGUUCCAUGAUGGGUCUUCUGAACCACCGCAGCAUGAUGCUGAAAAGUUAAUUCAUGCUUUUGUUACUUCCAGGCUGGACUAUUGUAAUUCUUUAUUAUCAGGGUGUCCAAACAACUCUUUAGGAAGCCUCCAGUUGAUCCAAAAUGCUGCAGCCAGAGUUCUGACAGGUAUUGACAAAAGAGAUCACAUCUCCUGUAAUGGCGUCGCUUCAUUGGCUGCCUGUUAAAUUUAGAAUAAUUUUUAAAACCCUUCUUUUGACCUAAAGGGUCCUCAGAGGCCUAGCUCCAUCCUACCUGGAGGAGCUAGUGAUACCUUACCAGCCCAAUAGACCGCUCCGCUCUCAGAAUGCUGGUCUACUUGUGGUUCCCAGAGUUUCCAGGAGUAGAAUGGGGGGCCGAGCAUUUAGCUACCAGGCCCCCCUGCUUUGGAACCAGCUCCCUGUCCAGGUACAGGAGGCUGACUCCAUCGCUACUUUUAAGAUCAGACUUAAAACCUACCUCUUUGAAAAAGCUUAUUGUUACUAAUUCUGUAGUUCCAGUUACUAUCAUAGACAGACAAAUUAUCAUACUUAGGGGGUCGUCUAAUCGUUAGGUCACAUCUUAGCUAUGCUGCUAUAGGCCAAGGCUGCCGGGGUCCAGAAACAUGAUCACCUGACAGGCCUCUGUCACCCCACUGGGUCAUGGUUUCCUCUCCUCUCCUCUCCUCUCCUCUCCUCUCCUCUCCUCUCCUCUCCUCUCCUCUCCUCUCCUCUCCUCUCCUCUCCUCUCCUCCCCUUCUCCUCUCUCUCUACCCAGCUCCCCCAUCAGCAGGAGGGUCCCCCUACAUGAGCCUGGUCCUGCUCAAGGUUUCUUCCUGUUAAAGGGAAGAAACCUUCCUUGCCACUGUUGCUUGUCUGGGGUCAGGCCCUGGGAUUCUGGAAAGCGCCUUGAAACAAUUUUGAUUGUAUAAAGAUUGAUUUGAUUUGAUUCUUUGUCUGACCCUUCACCUUGGACCAAUCUGCCUUGGGAGACCCUACCAGGGGCAAACUGCCCCGGAAAGCAGAGCUCCCAGGCUCAUUAGGGUACGCAAACUCCUCCACCACGAUAAGGUGAUGGUUCACGGAGGAGUAUAGAGGGUUCUCAUAUGAUCAAAUUCAAUAAAACAUAAGAAUAAGAUAAAAGCAAUUUGCAUUGGCCGGGAAUCGAACCCGGGCCUCCCGCGUGGCAGGCGAGAAUAGGUGUAACGGAGAACCAGCCAAUCAGAUCGAAGCUGCCCGAAGACCUCAGAGGGAGAGUUAGAAUCCAGCUUUGGGCAUAAUCACGUCGAAGAUAUGUGUUUGAAAAAUUCACGUUAAUAAAAAUGUUUAAAGAGCAUCGCAGUUUCUGGGUUUCUGUGAGUUUAAUGAGCCACAAAUGCUUG